AGAGUUUGAUCCUGGCUCAGAACGAACGCUGGCGGCAGGCUUAACACAUGCAAGUCGAACGUGAAGCAGGAGCUUGCUCCUGUGGAAAGUGGCAGACGGGUGAGUAACGCGUGGGAAUUUACCCAGUGGUUCGGAAUAACUUCGGGAAACGGGAGCUAAUACCGGAUACGCCCUUCGGGGGAAAGAUUUAUCGCCAUUGGAUGAGCCCGCGUCGGAUUAGCUUGUUGGUGAGGUAAAAGCUCACCAAGGCGACGAUCCGUAGCUGGUCUGAGAGGAUGAUCAGCCACACUGGGACUGAGACACGGCCCAGACUCCUACGGGAGGCAGCAGUGGGGAAUAUUGCACAAUGGGCGCAAGCCUGAUGCAGCCAUGCCGCGUGAGUGAUGAAGGCCUUAGGGUUGUAAAACUCUUUCGCCAGGGAAGAUAAUGACGGUACCUGGUAAAGAAGCCCCGGCCAACUCCGUGCCAGCAGCCGCGGUAAUACGGAGGGGGCUAGCGUUGUUCGGAAUUACUGGGCGUAAAGCGCGCGUAGGCGGGCUGGUUAGUUGGGGGUGAAAUCCCGAGGCUUAACCUCGGAACUGCCCUCAAUACUGCCAGUCUUGAGUUCGAGAGAGGUAAGUGGAAUUCCUAGUGUAGAGGUGAAAUUCGUAGAUAUUAGGAAGAACACCAGUGGCGAAGGCGGCUUACUGGCUCGAUACUGACGCUGA
RNAcentral lists this ribosomal RNA (707 nucleotides) under uncultured bacterium. RNAcentral's name for it is "bacterial SSU rRNA". It matches the Rfam family "Bacterial small subunit ribosomal RNA", at positions 8 to 749 of the family's 1533-position model. The record is from RNAcentral.